GGAAGUAAAAGUCGUAACAAGGUUUCCGUAGGUGAACCUGCGGAAGGAUCAUUAACGAACUCUUGGAAGGGAUGUCCGCUGCUGCUGGGCCUUUUCGGAGGUCAUCGUGCACGCGGGUCUCUCUUCUUGUUCAGCCAUCUACCCCUAUCUGUGUACCCCUCGUAGGCUGAGAUCUCUCGGCCUAUGGCUUUUCCUCUCACAAAGCCUCCCAGCGAUCUCUGUGAAUGGCAUCUGCGCGAGCCUGUCUCGGCGUAGCACAAAUAUAGUACAACUUUCAACAACGGAUCUCUUGGCUCUCGCAUCGAUGAAGAACGCAGCGAAAUGCGAUAAGUAAUGUGAAUUGCAGAAUUCAGUGAAUCAUCGAAUCUUUGAACGCAACUUGCGCCCCUUGGUACUCCGAAGGGCAUGCCUGUUUGAGUGUCAUCGAAAACAUCAACCCCGCGGGGGAGGGCUUUCGAGCCCUUCUCAUCGGCGGUUUUGGAGCUUGCGGCGUGCGGGGAAGCUCUCGCGAGCGGCUCCGCUCCUCGCGGAAUACAUCAGCGGACGGCCGACUUGCGGAUCCAGCCUGGGCGUGAUAGCUGUCUACGUCCUGGCUUAUGGGCCGCGCUCCUUGGCUCCGCUUCGAGCGCGGUCCGUCACUUAUUGCGACGGACCAUUGACGAUUUGACCUCAAAUCAGGUAGGAUUACCCGCUGAACUUAAGCAUAUCAAUAAGCGGAGGAAAAGAAACUAAC
This 733-nucleotide ribosomal RNA is filed under the name Dictyonema hernandezii. Its description in RNAcentral is "eukaryotic LSU rRNA". The stretch from base 270 to 423 matches the Rfam family "5.8S ribosomal RNA". The record is from RNAcentral. Lineage: Eukaryota; Fungi; Basidiomycota; Agaricomycetes; Agaricales; Hygrophoraceae.